CCGAUUCAGCCCUGAGGCAGAAAAACUGGACAAAGCAGUUUUUUUCCCCCUUCCCCUUUAUAGAGUGUGUGAUUUGUGCAACAGCUUUGGCUUGGCAAAUAGGGAAGUGUCAGCGCUAAAUCAGCUUUACUCUAAGGGCACGGUACGCCUGUGUUUCUCAACCGAGUGAUACCCAAAUCCAGGACCAUUUUACUUCAAGUGGAAUACACACACAGAGCAAACAUUCUCAAGGUGACUUAAAGACAACAGUGAGGAUAUCCAUAUUCUGGAGGUUGGAUCUCUGGGAAAGCUGGUCACUGGCUUCUGCCUGGCAUGAAGGGUACAGAAGGUAGGAUUUCCUUCUUUAAGGUGUUUGGUAUAUGAAACUGCGUGUUUCUGGCCUGUGCUACCUUGUCCCAGUUUAAAGCCCACUGUACUAGCUUGACAUCUGGCUGAGGCAUGAUCCCUUUCUUUUCAUUUCAUUCAGCCUUGAUCUCCCAAUUGGCCUUUGACUGCUGACUUUCGUACUCUUUUUGGUUCCAGACUGUCUGCUUGGCCUGACCUUGUGCUUAAUGCUUGACCUCUCCAUGACUCCUAGGAACCAUACCCUGAACCUAGAUUGACUGCUGUCCACAGCUCAGUCAGAAAAUGGAAGCCUUUAGAAUAAAUGAAUUAUCAAAGAGAGGAGAAAUACA
Molecule: long non-coding RNA, 674 nt
Filed under: Sus scrofa (pig)
Lineage: Eukaryota; Metazoa; Chordata; Mammalia; Artiodactyla; Suidae
Description: lncRNA (ENSSSCG00070026018.1)
Source: RNAcentral